AGUACAAUCACAAAGCACGACUACGAUAGAGCUUAUAUUACGAGUAGUAGCCACGACGAUAACGAAAAUAUUAACAUGGAUCAAACAUUUGAUUCAUGGUGGAACCGUACAUUUAAGAUUUUCGAUGGGCUUGACGGGAAUACAAAUCAAAGGACGUUCGAAAUCAUUAAAGAAAACUCGAGAAGCUAUUUCAACGAUCGGAAGCUAUGAAAGAGAUGAAAGCGGUCAAGGAAGCUCAUCCCACCAAAGGAAGUGUGACAAGAUGGGUGAUGGCUCUCCACAGAUAUGAAACUAUCAAAGGCAAAAGGUUUAAGCAUGAUGAUUGCUACCGUAUCUUGGAAGAAAACAUCUAUGAUUUCUACCUGUAUGAAUAAGUUUCUAAGUUCAACCUAUCUAUCUAUUCCAUUUCCACCAAUGUUAUUUUAUGUUAUGAAAUAUGAAGGUAUUUUUCUGUUUCAA
This is a long non-coding RNA of Papaver somniferum (opium poppy), 459 nucleotides long. RefSeq lists it as uncharacterized. NCBI's taxonomy places the organism in Eukaryota, Viridiplantae, Streptophyta, Magnoliopsida, Ranunculales, Papaveraceae. The record is from RefSeq and is a predicted model, not a curated record. The transcript is spliced from 2 exons.